UAAAUGAAUUGGGAAUGACUGAGCAGUGG
Molecule: non-coding RNA, 29 nt
Filed under: Rattus norvegicus (Norway rat)
Lineage: Eukaryota; Metazoa; Chordata; Mammalia; Rodentia; Muridae
Source: RNAcentral